Pan troglodytes (chimpanzee) is the source of this 2097-nucleotide long non-coding RNA. RefSeq lists it as uncharacterized. The transcript is spliced from 6 exons. NCBI's taxonomy places the organism in Eukaryota, Metazoa, Chordata, Mammalia, Primates, Hominidae. The record is from RefSeq and is a predicted model, not a curated record.
AGUCUAAGCUCCUUGAGGGCAAGUACUGCAUUUUGUUAUUCACUCUGGCAGAGCACAUAGUGGUUCUCAAAUUGUCUUGCUAUAUCAAUGAAUGGGCUGAUGUUAGCUGAGACUGAGAAGGCAUGAGACAGUGACAAGAAGAUAUGUGAGGAGUUGCUGUAAGAGGCCCUGAAAUGGAGCAAGAGUGAACUGGAUAGGCAGAUGGGAUGCUGCCAGGUCAUCAGACUGAUCACAAUGGUGUCAGGUCAUACCAAAUGGGGUGGCAUAAUUUGGGCAAAGGCCAGCAAUGUACUAGGUGUGGGCUGCACAGAUGUACGGGUCAUCCAGUGAUUUUCCAUCUUGGAAAGGCCAGCCAGCAUUCACAGGACAAAGAUGGGGGGAUUAGGAAUAACUGAGGUCAAGGGAGGGGCAAGGGCUAUAGGAGCGUCUACAUAAAUCAACACUGAGAAUGUAUUCCAUGAAUGAAAGUAACACAAAAGCUGUUGGCAGGCAAGGGUGGAACCCAGCCUAACUUCCAUGGUGUUGUCACAAGCCCAAGAAGAAAAAGGGAACUCUGGUGAAUACUUCUGAAUGACAAAGAUAAAAUGGAAGACCUAUGAUUUGGCUAUUGGGCUAUAAAAAUGGACAGCCAUCACAUGAGGAAACCUAGAAAAAUGAGAUAAUGAGCUUCAGGGCUCAGAAUGGAAAGAACCCCAUAGAAAUCUUUGAUCUUUUCCACCAUGAGUUCUACACUGAUGCAAAGGACAGAAUCAGAACAUACAUUCUCUGAUUUGGAAAGUAUAUAUUUUCCCAUCCAAGUUCAUUGUGAACUGCUGACCAAAAGGGCAGUGUUUUAUACAGAUUCUGUCUAGAACUAGCCCAGUGGGAAAAGCCUCGGAAAGCAUACGGCAAAGAAACUCAGACUCCAGAGUAUGAUUUAGUAACAGAAAGAGUGGUGUGUCUUGUCUUUGUAUGCCCGUAUAAAUAAUCACGAUGGCUGAACUCUGCUAUUUUUCAUCCAACCUAAGUAACAGCUUUGAAAAAGAAAGAUAACAAUGACCUGUGUGUACAGCGUCCAAGGGAACCAUUAGCAGUGGAGCUCCCCAGGCUCCUGGGACGACCAAGCACAUGGUCCAACCAACCAUCUUCUGACAAGAUGGAGUCUCACUCUGUUGUCCAGGCUGGAGUGCAGUGGCGCAUCUUGGCUCACUGCAAGCUCCACCUCCCGGGUUCACGCCAUUCUCCUGCCUCAGCCUCCCAAGUAGCUGCGACUACAGGAAGCUGCCACUACACCCAGCCUCAACUGAAUAGCAGGGAGAUUUUGGCUUUCAUUCCAGAAUGAUGUUUCACAGAAAGUCAACUCUUGUUCCAGGGCACGAGUAAAGAUAUCAACCCAUCUAUCUGUAGAAAAUUGCCAGAAACUGUCACAAAAUAAAAAAUGAGAGAAGGCCUGAAUUACGACAGUCCUGGUGGGGUUCUACAAGGCAGCAUGAGGGAGAGGAGAGAGGACUAUUUUACCAAGAUUUUAAGACUUUCAAACAACCAGGGAAGGCUUCUGUGGACAGGACUAAAGAACCAGAACUGUUCAGAAAGAGAGAAGAGCCCAGCGCCUUAUACUCAGGAGAUACUGAAAAACAUCAUAUAAAGUGUUUACUGUUGAGAGAAAAGUACACAUCAGAGGAUGCCCAUUAUUGAUAUAGAGCCUUCUCUGUAUCUGGAUGAACGUGACCAGGAAGUCACCCUCAGCCUGCUGCAGCUGUUUUCAGAAUCUGUGGGAUCACACCCCAGAGGCAGUUGGGUCAGCCGCAGGCAUCAGGUGAGGAGGAGGAAGAGUGAGACAGCUAUUACAGGCUGCCGGACCAGGUGGCUGUGAAGAGGUGUGGGGCCACCAAGGCUUAUAUAAGGAGGAUGGAGAACGCAGGCCAAAGGGGAGGCUGUAACGCUGACUUCGAUUGGCUAACUUAAUAUAAGGCAGACUGAGGGAGGAGGAGGAGGGCAGGAGAGAACACGCUUUAGAAAGCAUGACGGUGUCUCAUUCUGUUUGCAAGUGAGCAGGUAGGUGCCUUCCAAAUAUGAUCCUGAAGAAGGUGCAGAUAAAUGAAAAAUUGGAUAUACAAU